RNAcentral lists this long non-coding RNA (233 nucleotides) under Vigna radiata. RNAcentral describes it as "long non-coding RNA (VRAD_LNC015415)". The record is from RNAcentral. Lineage: Eukaryota; Viridiplantae; Streptophyta; Magnoliopsida; Fabales; Fabaceae.
AGGACGUGAAGCUGACCAUGAGUUCAGAUAAAAUUAUUCAAUCCAGAAUGUUUUCCUUUCCGUUUGCUGUUGCCUGAAAGUACAAUGUCUCUGAUGUUGAGAGAUUUAAAAUGUAACUCUUAAAACUGUCAUAACGGUCUUUGAGUAGUUCCUUUAGUUUCAGCUUUAUAUACCGCAAUAUUGUACUCUUUCUAGUACGACUUAAUAAAAUUUUGUUCCUUCUCUAAACCUCU